CCGCCUGGGGAGUACGGUCGCAAGAUUAAAACUCAAAUGAAUUGACGGGGGCCCGCACAAGCGGUGGAGCAUGUGGUUUAAUUCGAUGCAACGCGAAGAACCUUACCUACUCUUGACAUCCAGAGAAUCUAGCGGAGACGCUGGAGUGCCUUCGGGAACUCUGAGACAGGUGCUGCAUGGCUGUCGUCAGCUCGUGUUGUGAAAUGUUGGGUUAAGUCCCGCAACGAGCGCAACCCUUAUCCUUGUUUGCCAGCGAGUAAUGUCGGGAACUCCAGGGAGACUGCCGGUGAUAAACCGGAGGAAGGUGGGGACGACGUCAAGUCAUCAUGGCCCUUACGAGUAGGGCUACACACGUGCUACAAUGGCGCAUACAGAGGGCGGCCAACUUGCGAAAGUGAGCGAAUCCCAAAAAGUGCGUCGUAGUCCGGAUUGGAGUCUGCAACUCGACUCCAUGAAGUCGGAAUCGCUAGUAAUCGUGGAUCAGAAUGCCACGGUGAAUACGUUCCCGGGCCUUGUACACACCGCCCGUCACACCAUGGGAGUGGGCUGCAAAAGAAGUGGGUAGUUUAACCUUCGGGAGGACGCUCACCACUUUGUGGUUCAUGACUGGGGUGAAGUCGUAACAAGGUAGCGCUAGGGGAACCUGGCGCUGGAUCACCUCCUUAUACGAUGAU
This 674-nucleotide ribosomal RNA is filed under the name Vibrio vulnificus. RNAcentral's name for it is "bacterial SSU rRNA". It matches the Rfam family "Bacterial small subunit ribosomal RNA", at positions 869 to 1533 of the family's 1533-position model. Lineage: Bacteria; Pseudomonadati; Pseudomonadota; Gammaproteobacteria; Vibrionales; Vibrionaceae. The record is from RNAcentral.